UACGUAGGUGACAAGCGUUGUCCGGAUUUACUGGGCGUAAAGAGCGCGCAGGCGGUCGAUCAAGUCGAGUGUGAAAGCCCCCGGCUCAACUGGGGAGGGUCAUUCGAUACUGAUCGACUCGAAGGCAGGAGAGGGUAGUGGAAUUCCCGGUGUAGUGGUGAAAUGCGUAGAUAUCGGGAGGAACACCAGUGGCGAAGGCGACUGCCUGGACCAGCACUGACACUGAGGCACGAAAGCGUGGGGAGCAAACAGG
This 253-nucleotide ribosomal RNA is filed under the name uncultured bacterium. Its description in RNAcentral is "partial 16S ribosomal RNA". It matches the Rfam family "Bacterial small subunit ribosomal RNA", at positions 524 to 776 of the family's 1533-position model. The record is from RNAcentral.